This is a long non-coding RNA of Oncorhynchus mykiss (rainbow trout), 2098 nucleotides long. RefSeq lists it as uncharacterized. The record is from RefSeq and is a predicted model, not a curated record. Lineage: Eukaryota; Metazoa; Chordata; Actinopteri; Salmoniformes; Salmonidae.
AUGUUAUUCUUGCAGUAUGUAUUACCAAAAAUUCCAGACCACAUAAGCUGCCUGUCGUCUCACAGCGCGAACCAAUGAAAGUGAAUUCGUACCAAGCAAAGUGAAGCCCUUACACAAGCUAUAUUUUUCAAGUCUUUAAAGAGAUCACUCGACAUAGACAGAAUAAUCUUUUCAUGGCUUCUUGAAUGACUCCGUCGCUGAUGCAUCGCGGUUAAUGUAUUCUAAAGUAUAUUUACUUGAAUCUGGCUAUUGGCAAAAGUUAAGUACCCGUGUUUAGUAAUGUCGCAUUCAUCAGAGGCCUCUGAGCCAGUCAGCGGGAUGGAGCACUCUGCAAUGCCACAGAGCCCCAGAUGCUGGAUGGUCUUGGGUGUGAGAAACUCGGAAACUCGCUUGUUUGACGAGCUCUACUUUAACUGCCAACCUAGGCUGUAAUCCCUGUGAAUAUUCCAUGAGGGGCGUGUACGUCCAGAUGCUCUGUGGAAUCAGACAUCAGCCAAUGUAUGGUCAACAUUUGUCAAUAUUGUGUCUUGUGUUGAGCCAUAAUCAAUCCAAGAGAUACUACAACAGAGCUAUCAAACUAGCUUUGGAAUACUGUAAUGUACUAAUGUACUAGAACAUGGACAUAAGUUUUCAUCACAGCAGGACACAUCUUCUUACCUCACUCUCAGAUCUGUUAAUCAGGCACAAGUCGUGGACAGUAAUCCCCUGAACCCUUCAGCCUAUCCUAUUAGAUUAAGAAGUUAAAGCACCCAACCUGACAACCUCCCUCUGCAAUGGCUCUACAGGCUGGGGCUAAAGUGUACCACACACUGACCGUGUCAGUCAUCUUACUGUAAACACUUUUAACUUCUGACCACCAUACAUUGAAUGGAGAGUUUAUUUGGAAUAUUGAGAUAUCAGGUUUCUUGACGAUGGACAACUCACAUAUUCCUAAAAUGCAUGGCACACCUACAAUGUCAGAGGCCGAAAGAAUAUAGCACAUUGCUUGACUAUUCCCAACAUUUUUUUAAACCUUCAAUUGUGCUAUUUUGGAUUAGACAUCAUUACUAAAAGUUGAACAACUUGACAAUAUGUGUUGUAUCACAUUAAAGUCAUUCAAGGAGCUCUACAUUGUCUGAUAGUUUUCCCAUUGUUCAUUGAUAAUUUUACUGUGAACUUCAACCUUACACCUCACAACCACCAAAUAGUUAACUGUGUGUGUGUGUGUGUGUGUGUGUGUGUGUGUGUGUGUGUGUGCGUGUGCGUGUGCGUGUGCGUGUGCGUGUGUGUGUGCGUGUGCGUGUGCCUGUGCGUGUGUGUGCAUGUGUGUGUGGUGGAUGCAACCUGUUCAAAGUCUUGUUUCCUGCCAGCAUGCGGCAAACAUAUGCAACAGAAUUAAAGCCCUAAAGCUCACAAAUUGAUGAGGAUUUAAUGCAGAGUGCAAUUCCUGGGAAUUAAACAAAUUAGUGAUCUAAUUAGAGAUUUGGUCAACAAAAAUGAAUUAGAUGGAUUUGUCAUUGCUCUAAUGAACAUAGAUGGAAAUUGGGUAUUGAGAUGUUUGUCUCUUGUAUUUUAGCCCUUUCCCAUUAAUAGAUUCAUUCUAUUUUCUUUCUACAAUGUAAUCUAAUCUACAUGUCAGAUGUAUUGCUUUAUCUGAAGAAAAAAAACUAAUGUGAAUUGCAAUAAACAAGCAGCAUAAUUCAUUAAAAAAAACAACUCAAGUAUUGUGAAUUUAAAUGUCAACCUUUGGAAAUCACAUAGGAAUUUCCUAUUAAUGGAAUAACUGAUAGCUGAUGAUUGACUUUUCUUUUUAAUCUUGUUGUAUUCUCCAGAUAUGAUUUUCUGACCAUGCUGCUGCAUAUUUUAACACGUUUUGCCCUUUGGGAAAGAAAUAUGGUGCCAGUUCCCUAUCCAUUUUCAGAUCUGUUUAAAGAUCAUUAUUAUUGUAUACUGUAUCAUAACUCUUUCACAUUUCCAGUUGAGUUUGAUUGACUGUUGGGUUUGAUUGACUGUUGGGUUUGAUUGACUGUUGGGUUUGAUUGGACCUGUAUACCUUCUACUUGUUGUUGCCUGUGAUGACUUUGACAAUGACCUUGUCCUCUUGGCCUAUCCAUGUCCA